CUACGGGGUGCUCCAGUAGGGAAUAUUGGGCAAUGGGCGCAAGCCUGACCCAGCAACGCCGCGUGCGCGAAGAAGGCCUUCGGGUCGUAAAGCGCUUUUCUGAGGGAUGAGAAAGGACAGUACCUCAGGAAUAAGCCUCGGCUAACUACGUGCCAGCAGCCGCGGUAAAACGUAGGAGGCGAGCGUUAUCCGGAUUUACUGGGCGUAAAGCGUGUGCAGGCGGUCUGGCAAGUUGGAUGUGAAAGCUCCCGGCUCAACUGGGGGAGGUCGUUCAAAACUACCGGACUAGAGUGUAUCAGAGGGAGAUGGAAUUCCCGGUGUAGUGGUGAAAUGCGUAGAUAUCGGGAGGAACACCAGUGGCGAAAGCGAUCUUCUGGGAUACUACUGACGCUCAGACACGAAAGCUAAGGUAGCGAACGGGAUUAGAUACCCCCGUAGUC
This 440-nucleotide ribosomal RNA is filed under the name uncultured bacterium. RNAcentral describes it as "partial 16S ribosomal RNA". It matches the Rfam family "Bacterial small subunit ribosomal RNA", at positions 339 to 795 of the family's 1533-position model. The record is from RNAcentral.